RNAcentral lists this ribosomal RNA (497 nucleotides) under uncultured bacterium. RNAcentral's name for it is "partial 16S ribosomal RNA". It matches the Rfam family "Bacterial small subunit ribosomal RNA", at positions 28 to 507 of the family's 1533-position model. The record is from RNAcentral.
GACGAACGCUGGCGGCGUGCCUAAUACAUGCAAGUUGAGCGAUGAAGAUUGGUGCUUGCACCAAUUUGAAGAGCAGCGAACGGGUGAGUAACGCGUGGGGAAUCUGCCUUUGAGCGGGGGACAACAUUUGGAAACGAAUGCUAAUACCGCAUAACAACUUUAAACAUAAGUUUUAAGUUUGAAAGAUGCAAUUGCAUCACUCAAAGAUGAUCCCGCGUUGUAUUAGCUAGUUGGUGAGGUAAAGGCUCACCAAGGCGAUGAUACAUAGCCGACCUGAGAGGGUGAUCGGCCACAUUGGGACGGAGACACGGCCCAAACUCCUACGGGAGGCAGCAGUAGGGAAUCUUCGGCAAUGGACGAAAGUCUGACCGAGCAACGCCGCGUGAGUGAAGAAGGUUUUCGGAUCGUAAAACUCUGUUGGUAGAGAAGAACGUUGGUGAGAGUGGAAAGCUCAUCAAGUGACGGUAACUAACCAGAAAGGGACGGCUAACUACGUG